RNAcentral lists this ribosomal RNA (497 nucleotides) under uncultured bacterium. RNAcentral's name for it is "partial 16S ribosomal RNA". It matches the Rfam family "Bacterial small subunit ribosomal RNA", at positions 28 to 507 of the family's 1533-position model. The record is from RNAcentral.
GAUGAACGCUGGCGGCGUGCCUAAUACAUGCAAGUCGAGCGAACAGACGAGGAGCUUGCUCCUCUGACGUUAGCGGCGGACGUGAGCGUAACACGUGGAUAACCUACCUAUAAGACUGGGAUAACUUCGGGAAACCGGAGCUAAUCCCGUAUAAUAUAUUGAACCGCAUUGUUCAAUAGUGAAAGACGGUUUUGCCGUAACUUAUAGAUGGAUCCACGCCGCAUUAGCUAGUUGGUAAGGUAACGGCUUACCAAGGCAACGAAGUAUAGCCGACCUAAGAGGGAGAGCAGCGACGAGGGCACUGAGACUCAGUCGAGACUCCUACGGGAGGACGCAGCAGAGAAUCGUCAGCAACGGGCGAUAGCCUGACGGAGCAACACGGCGUGAGUGAUGAAAGUCUUCGGAUCGUGAUACUGUGUUAUUAGGAAAGAACAAAUGUUUAAGUAACUAUGCACGACUUGACGGUACCUGAUCAGAAAGCCACGGAUAAAUACGUG